GAUGAAGAACGUAGCAAAAUGCGAUAAGUAAUGUGAAUUGCAGAAUUCAGUGAAUCAUCGAAUCUUUGAACGCACAUGGCGCCUUCCAGUAUCCUGGGAGGCAUGCCUGUCCGAGCGUCGUUUCAACCCUCGAGCCCCCGUGGCCCGGCGUUGGGGAUCUGCCACGGCAGGCCCCUAAAACCAGUGGCGGACCCGAAGGCCCUCUCCUUUGCGCAGUAGCAUCAGCCUCGCAUUGGGAUCCCUCGGCGUCCUGCCUCUAAACCCCCCACAAGUCCGCUCCGGCGGCACCAAGGUUGACCUCGGAUCAGGUAGGAAUACCCGCUGAACUUAAGCAUAUCAAUAAGCGGAGGA
This 351-nucleotide unclassified non-coding RNA is filed under the name soil metagenome. RNAcentral describes it as "partial contains 5.8S ribosomal RNA, internal transcribed spacer 2, and large subunit ribosomal RNA". The stretch from base 1 to 120 matches the Rfam family "5.8S ribosomal RNA", at positions 35 to 154 of the family's 154-position model. The record is from RNAcentral.